RNAcentral lists this ribosomal RNA (484 nucleotides) under uncultured bacterium. Its description in RNAcentral is "partial 16S ribosomal RNA". It matches the Rfam family "Bacterial small subunit ribosomal RNA", at positions 29 to 507 of the family's 1533-position model. The record is from RNAcentral.
AUUGAACGCUGGCGGCAUGCUUUACACAUGCAAGUCGAACGGCAGCGCGGGCUUCGGCCUGGCGGCGAGUGGCGAACGGGUGAGUAAUGCAUCGGAACGUGCCCAGUAGUGGGGGAUAGCCCGGCGAAAGCCGGAUUAAUACCGCAUACGACCUGAGGGUGAAAGCGGGGGACCGAAAGGCCCCGCGCUAUUGGAGCGGCCGAGGUCGGAUUAGCUAGUUGGUGGGGUAAAGGCUUACCAAGGCGACGAUCCGUAGCUGGUCUGAGAGGACGACCAGCCACACUGGGACUGAGACACGGCCCAGACUCCUACGGGAGGCAGCAGUGGGGAAUUUUGGACAAUGGGGGCAACCCUGAUCCAGCCAUGCCGCGUGCGGGAAGAAGGCCUUCGGGUUGUAAAACGCUUUUGUUCGGGAAGAAGUCCUCUGGGCUAAUACCCCGGGGGGAUGACGGUACCGGAAGAAUAAGCACCGGCUAAAUACGUG